CCCUUAGAUGUUCUGGGCCGCACGCGCGCUACACUGACGAUGGCAACGAGUUUUUCCUUCGCCGAAAGGUGUGGGUAAUCUUUUGAAACAUCGUCGUGCUGGGGAUAGAUCAUUGCAAUUUUUGAUCUUGAACGAGGAAUUCCUAGUAAGCGCGAGUCAUCAGCUCGCGUUGAUUACGUCCCUGCCCUUUGUACACACCGCCCGUCGCUACUACCGACUGAAUGGUUUAGUGAGGACUCCUGAUUGGCGCCGCCGCCCCGGCAACGGAGCAGCGGACUGCCGAAAAGUUGUUCAAACUUGAUCAUUUAGAGGAAGUAAAAGUCGUAACA
RNAcentral lists this ribosomal RNA (329 nucleotides) under uncultured eukaryote. RNAcentral's name for it is "partial 18S ribosomal RNA". It matches the Rfam family "Eukaryotic small subunit ribosomal RNA", at positions 1470 to 1796 of the family's 1831-position model. The record is from RNAcentral.